AGAACGAACGCUGGCGGCAUGCUUAACACAUGCAAGUCGAACGCUCGUAGCAAUACGGGAGUGGCAGACGGGUGAGUAACGCGUGGGAACAUACCCUCCGGUUCGGAAUAGCUCAGGGAAACUUGGAUUAAUACCGGAUACGGCUGAGAGGCGAAAGAUUUAUCGCCGGAGGAUUGGCCCGCGUUCGAUUAGCUAGUUGGUGAGGUAAUGGCUCACCAAGGCUAUGAUCGAUAGCUGGUCUGAGAGGAUGAUCAGCCACAUUGGGACUGAGACACGGCCCAAACUCCUACGGGAGGCAGCAGUGGGGAAUAUUGGACAAUGGGCGCAAGCCUGAUCCAGCCAUGCCGCGUGAGUGAUGACGGCCUUAGGGUUGUAAAGCUCUUUCGCUCGGGACGAUAAUGACGGUACCGAGAUAAGAAGCCCCGGCUAACUUCGCGCCAGCAGCCGC
Molecule: ribosomal RNA, 448 nt
Filed under: uncultured bacterium
Lineage: Bacteria
Description: SSU rRNA
Rfam family: Bacterial small subunit ribosomal RNA
Source: RNAcentral